UUUAUGGAGAGUUUGAUCCUGGCUCAGGAUGAACGCUGGCGGCGUGCCUAAUACAUGCAAGUCGAGCGAACGGACGAGAAGCUUGCUUCUCUGAUGUUAGCGGCGGACGGGUGAGUAACACGUGGAUAACCUACCUAUAAGACUGGGAUAACUUCGGGAAACCGGAGCUAAUACCGGAUAAUAUUUUGAACCGCAUGGUUCAAAAGUGAAAGACGGUCUUGCUGUCACUUAUAGAUGGAUCCGCGCUGCAUUAGCUAGUUGGUAAGGUAACGGCUUACCAAGGCAACGAUGCAUAGCCGACCUGAGAGGGUGAUCGGCCACACUGGAACUGAGACACGGUCCAGACUCCUACGGGAGGCAGCAGUAGGGAAUCUUCCGCAAUGGGCGAAAGCCUGACGGAGCAACGCCGCGUGAGUGAUGAAGGUCUUCGGAUCGUAAAACUCUGUUAUUAGGGAAGAACAUAUGUGUAAGUAACUGUGCACAUCUUGACGGUACCUAAUCAGAAAGCCACGGCUAACUACGUGCCAGCAGCCGCGGUAAUACGUAGGUGGCAAGCGUUAUCCGGAAUUAUUGGGCGUAAAGCGCGCGUAGGCGGUUUUUUAAGUCUGAUGUGAAAGCCCACGGCUCAACCGUGGAGGGUCAUUGGAAACUGGAAAACUUGAGUGCAGAAGAGGAAAGUGGAAUUCCAUGUGUAGCGGUGAAAUGCGCAGAGAUAUGGAGGAACACCAGUGGCGAAGGCGACUUUCUGGUCUGUAACUGACGCUGAUGUGCGAAAGCGUGGGGAUCAAACAGGAUUAGAUACCCUGGUAGUCCACGCCGUAAACGAUGAGUGCUAAGUGUUAGGGGGUUUCCGCCCCUUAGUGCUGCAGCUAACGCAUUAAGCACUCCGCCUGGGGAGUACGACCGCAAGGUUGAAACUCAAAGGAAUUGACGGGGACCCGCACAAGCGGUGGAGCAUGUGGUUUAAUUCGAAGCAA
Molecule: ribosomal RNA, 977 nt
Filed under: Staphylococcus aureus
Lineage: Bacteria; Bacillati; Bacillota; Bacilli; Caryophanales; Staphylococcaceae
Description: bacterial SSU rRNA
Rfam family: Bacterial small subunit ribosomal RNA
Source: RNAcentral